UCCCGAAGGUAUCCUGAAUCUUUCGCAUUGUUAAUCAUACAAAUGCAAUAUAGUUAACAUAAAAAUCAAUGAUUAAUAUGCCACUAUAUAAUUCCGUAAAAUUAAUGCAUUGUAUAUUAUAAAUCUAUCAACACUUUAUCAAAUCAAAAGCAUUUAUUCUAUGUUAAAUUGCAAGCAAAAUAAUUUGAAUAAACUGUAAGCUUAUGAUUUUUUGAUAAAUUAAUGUUAUAUAUAAUAGAUUACAAUGUCCUUAUAUGGAAAAAAUG
Molecule: ribosomal RNA, 266 nt
Filed under: Rhinoleucophenga obesa
Lineage: Eukaryota; Metazoa; Arthropoda; Insecta; Diptera; Drosophilidae
Description: partial 28S ribosomal RNA
Source: RNAcentral